This 193-nucleotide small nuclear RNA is filed under the name Aotus nancymaae (Ma's night monkey). RNAcentral describes it as "U2 spliceosomal RNA (ENSANAG00000005135.1)". It matches the Rfam family "U2 spliceosomal RNA". From Rfam's summary of the family: U2 is a small nuclear RNA (snRNA) component of the spliceosome (involved in pre-mRNA splicing). Complementary binding between U2 snRNA (in an area lying towards the 5' end but 3' to hairpin I) and the branchpoint sequence (BPS) of the intron results the bulging out of an unpaired adenosine, on the BPS, which initiates a nucleophilic attack at the intronic 5' splice site, thus starting the first of two transesterification reactions that mediate splicing. The record is from Rfam by way of RNAcentral. Lineage: Eukaryota; Metazoa; Chordata; Mammalia; Primates; Aotidae.
AUUGCUUCUUGGCUGUCUGGCUAAGAUCAUGUGUAGUAUCUGUUCUUACCAGUUUAAUAUCUGAUACAUUCCCUAUCUGAGGAUAAUAUAAUAAUAAAUAGAUUUUUGGAGCAAGGAGAUGGAAUAGGAGCCUGCUCUGUUCACUCCACACAUUGACCUGGAUUGCAGUACCACCAGGAAUGGUGCACCCUCC